GAUGAACGCUGGCGGCGUGCUUAACACAUGCAAGUCGAACGAAGCGACUAUGAUUGAGAUUUCGGUUGAUUGAUUAGUUGACUUAGUGGCGGACGGGUGAGUAACGCGUGGGUAACCUGCCUCGUACAGGGGGAUAACAGUUAGAAAUGACUGCUAAUACCGCACCUAACCGCUAGGGUCGCAUGACCCGGACGGAAAAGAUUUAUCGGUACGAGAUGGACCCGCGUCCGAUUAGCUAGUUGGUGAGGUAACGGCCCACCAAGGCGACGAUCAGUAGCCGGCCUGAGAGGGUGAACGGCCACAUUGGAACUGAGACACGGCCCAA
This 325-nucleotide ribosomal RNA is filed under the name uncultured bacterium. RNAcentral's name for it is "bacterial SSU rRNA". It matches the Rfam family "Bacterial small subunit ribosomal RNA", at positions 28 to 334 of the family's 1533-position model. The record is from RNAcentral.